UACGGAGGGAGCUAGCGUUGUUCGGAUAUACUGGGCGUAAAGCGCACGUAGGCGGCGUCGUAAGUCAGGGGUGAAAUCCUGGAGCUCAACUCCAGAACUGCCUUUGAUACUGAAGAUCUUGAGUUCGGGAGAGGUGAGUGGAACUGCGAGUGUAGAGGUGAAAUUCGUAGAUAUUGGGUGGAACACCGGUGGCGAAAGCGGCUCACUGGCUCGGUUCUGACGCUGAGGCGCGAAAGCGUGGGGAGCAAACAGG
Molecule: ribosomal RNA, 253 nt
Filed under: uncultured bacterium
Lineage: Bacteria
Description: partial 16S ribosomal RNA
Rfam family: Bacterial small subunit ribosomal RNA
Source: RNAcentral